GUAGAUCAUGAUAUAUUGUGAAGACACUUGUCUAUUGUUGAAGGUAGAUCAUGAUAUAUUGUGAAGAUACUUGUCUAUUGUUGAAGGUAGAUCAUGAUAUAUUGUAAAGAUACUUGUCUAUUGUUGAAGGUAGAUCCUGAUAUAUUGUAAAGACACUUGUCUAUUGUUGAAGGUAGAUCCUGAUAUAUUGUAAAGACACUUGUCUAUUGUUGAAGGUAGAUCCUGAUAUAUUGUAAAGACACUUGUCUAUUGUUGAAGGUAGAUCCUGAUAUAUUGUAAAGACACUUGUCUAUUGUUGAAGGUAGAUCCUGAUAUAUUGUAAAGAUACUUGUCUAUUGUUGAAGGUAGAUCAUGAUAUAUUGUAAAGACACUUGUCUAUUGUUGAAGGUAGAUCAUGAUAUAU
Molecule: long non-coding RNA, 403 nt
Organism: Mytilus californianus (California mussel)
Lineage: Eukaryota; Metazoa; Mollusca; Bivalvia; Mytilida; Mytilidae
Exons: 5
Source: RefSeq, a predicted model, not a curated record